CCUACGGGUGGCUGCAGUGGGGAAUAUUGGACAAUGGGCGCAAGCCUGAUCCAGCCAUGCCGCGUGAGUGAAGAAGGCCUUCGGGUUGUAAAGCUCUUUUGUCCGGAAAGAAAAGCCCUUGAUUAAUACCUAGGGGUUAUGACGGUACCGGAAGAAUAAGCACCGGCUAACUUCGUGCCAGCAGCCGCGGUAAUACGAAGGGUGCAAGCGUUACUCGGAAUUACUGGGCGUAAAGCGUGCGUAGGUGGUCUGUUAAGUCUGAUGUGAAAGCCCUG
Molecule: ribosomal RNA, 275 nt
Filed under: uncultured bacterium
Lineage: Bacteria
Description: partial 16S ribosomal RNA
Rfam family: Bacterial small subunit ribosomal RNA
Source: RNAcentral